Molecule: ribosomal RNA, 567 nt
Filed under: uncultured Alphaproteobacteria bacterium
Lineage: Bacteria; Pseudomonadati; Pseudomonadota; Alphaproteobacteria
Description: bacterial SSU rRNA
Rfam family: Bacterial small subunit ribosomal RNA
Source: RNAcentral
AACGAACGCUGGCGGCAUGCCUAACACAUGCAAGUCGAACGGGAUCCUGGCUUCGGUCAGGUGAGAGUGGCGGACGGGUGAGUAACGCGUGGGAACCUGCCCAGUGGUGGGGGAUAACUGCGGGAAACUGCAGCUAAUACCGCAUGAGCCCGAGAGGGGAAAGAUUUAUCGCCAUUGGAGGGGCCCGCGUUCGAUUAGGUAGUUGGUGAGGUAAUGGCUCACCAAGCCGACGAUCGAUAGCUGGUCUGAGAGGAUGAUCAGCCACACUGGGACUGAGAUACGGCCCAGACUCCUACGGGAGGCAGCGGUGGGGAAUAUUGGACAAUGGGGGCAACCCUGAUCCAGCAAUGCCGCGUGAGUGAUGAAGGCCUUCGGGUUGUAAAGCUCUUUUGCCAGGGACGAUGAUGACGGUACCUGGAGAAUAAGCCCCGGCUAACUUCGUGCCAGCAGCCGCGGUAAUACGAAGGGGGCAAGCGUUGUUCGGAAUUACUGGGCGUAAAGGGCGCGUAGGCGGCUUAUCAAGUCAGGCGUGAAAUUCCCGGGCUCAACCUGGGGGCUGCGCUUGAU